RNAcentral lists this ribosomal RNA (429 nucleotides) under bacterium. RNAcentral describes it as "partial 16S ribosomal RNA". It matches the Rfam family "Bacterial small subunit ribosomal RNA", at positions 355 to 776 of the family's 1533-position model. The record is from RNAcentral.
UAGGGAAUCUUCGGCAAUGGGGGCAACCCUGACCGAGCAACGCCGCGUGAGUGAAGAAGGUUUUCGGAUCGUAAAGCUCUGUUGUAAGAGAAGAACGUGUGUGAGAGUGGAAAGUUCACACAGUGACGGUAACUUACCAGAAAGGGACGGCUAACUACGUGCCAGCAGCCGCGGUAAUACGUAGGUCCCGAGCGUUGUCCGGAUUUAUUGGGCGUAAAGCGAGCGCAGGCGGUUUAAUAAGUCUGAAGUUAAAGGCAGUGGCUUAACCAUUGGUUGCUUUGGAAACUAUUAAACUUGAGUGCAGAAGGGGAGAGUGGAAUUCCAUGUGUAGCUGUGAAAUGCGUAGAUAUAUGGAGGAACACCGGUCGCGAAAGCGGCUCUCUGGUCUGUCACUGACGCUGAGGCUCGACAGCGUGGGGAGCAAACAGG